UACGGGGGGGGCAAGCGUUGUUCGGAAUUAUUGGGCGUAAAGAGCUCGUAGGCGGUCUGUCGCGUCUGCUGUGAAAACUCGGGGCUUAACCCCGGGCCUGCAGUGGGUACGGGCAGACUAGAGUGCGGUAGGGGAGACUGGAAUUCCUGGUGUAGCGGUGAAAUGCGCAGAUAUCAGGAGGAACACCGGUGGCGAAGGCGGGUCUCUGGGCCGAUAUUGACGCUGAGGAGCGAAAGCGUGGGGAGCGAACAGG
This 253-nucleotide ribosomal RNA is filed under the name uncultured bacterium. Its description in RNAcentral is "partial 16S ribosomal RNA". It matches the Rfam family "Bacterial small subunit ribosomal RNA", at positions 524 to 776 of the family's 1533-position model. The record is from RNAcentral.